CUUGAAGAGUUUCCCACUGAGGUCUAAGAGUCUACAUACCUACAUGUCUAUCAUUCAAAAGCAGGUAUCUCUCUGAAAGUCAAUUUUCUCUAUGUAAAGGACACCAUUGCCUACCUGAAGGGCUUCUGCCCCAAAUCACCAUCCCUAAAGGCUAUUUUCUUCAGUGUUAUGGGACAAACAUCUUCUUUCUGAACUCACGUGAUGUGGAAACCAAGGCAAACUGAGUUAAGUGACUUCUCCAGGGUCACACAGUAAGUGUCUAAGAUCAGAUUUGAACUCAAGUCUUCUUGACUCCAUGCUUAGCUCUCUAUCCACUCUGCUAACUGGCUGCCCUAAAUAUUAUUUAACC
RNAcentral lists this long non-coding RNA (349 nucleotides) under Monodelphis domestica (gray short-tailed opossum). Its description in RNAcentral is "lncRNA (ENSMODG00000035886.2)". Lineage: Eukaryota; Metazoa; Chordata; Mammalia; Didelphimorphia; Didelphidae. The record is from RNAcentral.